GGGGAAAAGGUUCGUGAAGCUGCACCCCGAGUAAAGCAGCUGCUCACCUGCCAAGCAAGCUAUCAGCACAGCAUUUGCAUUGGAACUGAGAGAAAAAUCCCCAAGGAGCGUGUCUGGGCAGGUGAUUCCAUUGUCCUUAUUACUCAAGCAGCUAUUUCCACAGCCAUAGGCUUGCGACAGCACCUGGCAGCAGCUUCAUGGAGCGAUCCGAGAGUUACAAAACGCCUUCACAACAGCGGACAGAACCGCUCCAUUCAGCCCUCCUCAGCUGAGCUCCCUUUGGCUCCCACCCCCAAGCCACCCCCCUGGAACAGCCCUCCCCAUAUCACAAGGCCGCUCAGAUCACGCCAACAGAACCCAAACCCAAGGAAAUCACAAUAGGAUUCGAAAGCACUCAGGAAAGAGGCCAACCAGUGUUUUUUUCAUGGACAUUAAUAACAGCAGAACCAGGCCAUAAACCCAAUGCCAUAAUCCCCCAACCUUUACUCAGGUGUAGACGUAUGGACUGUGGCUUCACAUAUGUUUGCACAGCGCAUAACAGGCUGAAGGCAGCAUGGAGUAAUAAUUAUUUUAUUCCAGUCUAACACAGAGGACGUGGGCAACAUCCACCAGCACAGGACCCUGAGCACACAGAUAUAGUUGCCACUGCACUAACCAACCAGGGAAGCCAGCAUUUUCUCUCCCUGACAGAGCCGUAAUAAGGCAGGGGACCUGGGGAAGACAAAAAAGAAUGGGGCAGACAUGAACAGCAUCUCAGCACAAGAAAAGCAAAAGGAAAUGCAUCUUUUCCUCUCCCACUGCACGUAACAUUCCCUCAUGCUGAGGAUUUGGUACACAUGGGCAAGUAGAGCCAAAGAAAUUUGCUUAACAUUGUGGUGCAGAAAUGACAUGGUGCCACAGCUGUGCAUCUCUGUGCAGAGCCGAGCUGCCAGUGCAGAGCCACGUUCUGUACUGGAGUGCACAAGUCUGUAUUUCUAACCCCAGCUUCAUCAUGCUCCUCAAUCCUGUGUCUUUACUAGAAGUUUAAGAGCCCCUCAACUGAGAAAGCAGAAGUCCUAUUUGCAAAUGAACAUUUUAGCACUUAGGAAAUUGUCUAAUUAUAAGAACACAGAGCUUGAUGAAUAAAUGCCCCACGAGGGAAGUAAAGAGGACAAUGACAGGCUCUCCUCAGUGGUAUCCCAAGGGGCAAAGGGUAUUUUACAAUAAAGAAAACUCCAUUUAACCACAAAAAAAAACCAAAGUUGUUUUACUGUGAAGAUGGUCAAACACUGGAACAGGUUGCUCAGAGAGGUUGUGGAAUCUUCAUCCUUGGAGAUAUUCAGCAUGGGCAAGAUUGAACUGCUUUUGUCACCUCUCCUUUGAGCUGCAUGGGAAGGGGGAGGUGAACUAGAAGACCUUCAGAGGUCCCCACCAACCUCAGUAAAGUGGGGAUUGUGGCAAGCAUUCCCUGCAUUCUUUGUCCCCAGGAUACUGCCAUAAAACUGAAAAUGCAGCACUGCAUGGUAUGUCCCACUGCACCAGUAUGACUUGCCCAGGUCAGACAUCUCCAUGAAAGCGUGUGAGUGCAAAGUCAGACUAUAAGGGAUCAGAGGAUCUGCAUGAACUAAAUGCCUUCCUCAUCAAAAGAAAUGCAGAAAUCCAGGGAAACUAAACAAAAAGUUAACAAUGUGAAUGUUAGUUUGAAUAUUUAUAUAGACUUGACCCUUCCGUGCUCACACCUCUCACAUUAGCUUGCCAUGAGCUUUGGAAAGGUCAGAUUUUACUGGCAGAAGUGCCCAUGGAAAGCAAAAUUUACAUUUAUGUUUACUUCGGAGAUGUUUACACACUCAGCCAGUCAAGGAGACAAUAACAAUAUUAUGUGUAUUCUCUAGUAAAUUUCAGCUAACUGAUAUGAUCUGGGUACUGAUUUCUUUUUAUGUUAUGUUCAGUCAGUGCAGAAAGGUGAAAAAAGCCCAAAUACUAACAGCUCAUAUCAGUUGUUAACGUGUAAUUAAAACACAUUACAGAAAAUUAUAGCCUAUGUACCAGUGAUGAGCAAGCAUAAAAGGACAGGACUGAAUGCAUAUUCACUACGUAUCUACAAAUGCAACCUUAUUUUCCAUGUGCAGCAGUUGCAUCACACUGCACUACCAAAAAUAAAUGAGGAGCUCCUUUUCCUCCCUCUGUCAUGGAUCAUCUGAGAUAGGACCAGGAGGACCUCCCUUCUCUCUCUGCUUCCCCAAGGAAGUCUCACACUGAUCAAAGCACAAAUGCUGCCUGAAGCACACGGUGACAUUUGUCCUCAGUUCAAGAAGAUACCAGUGGCCCUUAAGAGACCUCACUUUGGUUCCACAUUUGCAAAUCCCCGUGAGCUGUGCAGGCGCAAAUUGACCAUUAGACUUCAAAACAGAAAGGGAAUGGGUUGGUACAGUUCUACAAGCUGAGGGCAGACAGCACUUUCGAAAACUACUCCUUAAUACGUAGCUGCGUCUCAGUUCUGGCACCUAAGUUUUAAAAACUAGGCUUGAGUUACAGCAAAAGAAAUCAACCAAAAAUACAGAAGAAUAUGUAUAAUCUCUGGAAAAGGGAAUACACAUUCUCAGUACCUGCCUGUUACUGGAAACAGUGCAGCUUUGAUCCUAGCUGCAGAAACUUCUACAGAUGAAAUUACAGUACAAUCCAAAAUACCAACACCACUUUUCUACACAUCCUCAAGGUAGUUCUACUGAUACUGAUCUUGUUAGUGUAAACAUAUGGCUGGCAGCAGUGGGAUGUUCAGCUCAGACUCAAUAUGUUUGCCUGAGCUAUUGGGAAUACUUUUGGCAACUGAACUUCUGCAAGUGCAGUUACAUCAUUAUUGGUACAGGUACAUGAGAUGGAACGAUCACACCUUCAGCUGGAUGGCAGACAUACUCUGCAAGGCAGAAUAAAUGCUGGAGACCCAGCAAUCAAGCAGCUAUGAUGGCCAAAAAAAAAAGGAGAUUGAGUUUGGGGAGGCCUUAGGCAAACUUUUGGACUGGUGAACGUCUGAGUUUCACUCCAAGAAUGAGAUAUCUUUCCUUUGAUUGGAAGCCAUCACUACAUAAAGUUUUAUAUUCUUCCCAUACACACAGCUAAUGAGAACUCUUGCUUAUUACUGCUGUUGCUGGAUAACCAAAAUGUCACCUUCAUACCUCCUUGUGGGUUGCCAUUCCACUUCAUACUCUAAAAGUGCAGAUGGUCCAUAAAAAAGUGAAAAGCUCAAUGUUUGUGACAAUCACAUCUACCUUAAUGUCUUCCAGGUUCUUGGCUGGGAUAAUGCAUCCUUUUAACACAGCAAAAGUAAACGCCCUUUCAUACAAACUAGACUUCUGUUUUCCACAGAGCUUUUCCAAGUCUUGGGCACAUGGUCAUAGUAAAUUCAGCCUUUGACUUUACCUUCUCUGAUCCAAUAACUGUGUGGCUAGAUUGAAUCCGAGUUUAAAACAACGUCACGACCAGCAGUCUUAGGAUAAAAUCUAAGAGAGGAACCAGAGAGGAUUUGAUCUCCAACCUACCACAUAGGGUCGCGGAAAUAAAAUCUGAAGUCCUAGAACUUUGUGAAUUUGAAUAAGUGGUGAUCUUUGGCCAAGGAAAGCAAUGAAGGUGAAAGAAGGACUUCAAAACAAAUAUUUUCCCGCAUUCCUAAAAGGCCUUCAGUUUAGGGGAAAAAAAGCAUUUAUAAUAAAACCUAAAGCAAGCUCUAAAAACUUCAGAAGCCAAGGGCACAAAGAAGUUCCAAGACAGUCAGAAGAGCUGUAGUUCUGCCUGAAGCACGGGGAGAAAAAACAACAUUAACUUAAUGGCAUCGGUUAAAAAUGAAAUCGGGGUGGAUUUAUUUAUUUAAGCUAUCCAUUCUGAAAUGAUUUUUCUUCCCCUUUUUUAACAUCUGCCUUCUUCUCCUUCAGCUAUUUCGUACCACUGAUUAUUCUGGAAUAAAAAUCUCACCUCACUGAAUUGUAGCACUUCUUAAAGUUAUGCAAUGAAGUAAUAGUUCAGUA
Gallus gallus (chicken) is the source of this 3998-nucleotide long non-coding RNA. RefSeq lists it as uncharacterized. The record is from RefSeq and is a predicted model, not a curated record. NCBI's taxonomy places the organism in Eukaryota, Metazoa, Chordata, Aves, Galliformes, Phasianidae. The transcript has 4 exons.